CAACUAUUUAUUGGUGAUACAUUGGUCUGGACAAUCUGUGUUUUGGAACUUCAAUAUUUGAUACAAUUUUUCUGCUUCUUUGACGCUACAUAACCUUCAGGUGUCAGAUUUGCUGUUCUCAAGGUGCCCUGUUUCUCAAGGUUUGUAACAGGAAGAUGUGGAAAACAAACAAAACCUUUCAUAAUUUGAAGCUACGGAUACUUCAGGAAAUUAUUCUUUCUUUAUGGAAAAUUCAAUUUUCUCUGAAUUUUCAGUGGAAGCUUUGGCUGUCUAUCAUUUCAAGUCUCUUGGAUUCUGCUGAACAUCUUUGUCACAACACUCCAUUUAAAAAUUGAACUAAUCUGCUUAUUCUAGAGUUGGACAGUUUAUCACAGAUGAUAAGAUGAUUGAACCAAAUACAAAAUCACUCUAUUCAUGGCAGUCCAUAUUGAUACUAAUUAGUAUCUUUGCUUGCAAUUUGCCCUCCAUGGUUUUCUUUUUUUGCAGUACUCAUUUAUCUUCUUUAUCUAAAGCUGAAUUUAUCCACUAAAUCUGCAGGGAAUUAAAUUUGCUUAUAUCAUGAAGAAAUUAACUUUGCUGGAUGGAGAAAUUGUGCCCUGAUGUUUGUAGUAUGAAGAAUGGUGUAAUAAGUUUGGGUGAACUCGGAGUAUUUUCAGAAUCCACCUAGUAGGGGAAAUGGAUGAGGAAAAAUACAACUAUCAUUUUACCUCGUGGAAGAACUGAAAGCAAAGUGAUACUGUUAGUGGGGAAAAAGGUCCCAGUGACUGCAUGCUCAGAACAUUCUCUUAAAAAUAAAGUGAAUUUCUUAGAUGGUAUCGCAUUAAA
Molecule: long non-coding RNA, 825 nt
Organism: Haemorhous mexicanus (house finch)
Lineage: Eukaryota; Metazoa; Chordata; Aves; Passeriformes; Fringillidae
Exons: 2
Source: RefSeq, a predicted model, not a curated record